UUUAUCUAUUUUUCUUUUAAGUCUCUUCUUUGUUUUUAUUUUUCAUUGUGUGAUGCUUAUCUUUAAACCUUUGGCAGAGAGGAUAUUAGAUGAAUUAUAUUUAAGUUUUCUGUUUGGGAAUAAUUUCCAUAACCAGAGGUCUCAUGUGUACUCUCUAUGACUUGAUUUAUAAAUAUCGGUAUUACUACACUUGUAUCGAGGGAUCUGAUAAUAAUAAAAAAUUUCAAAUCUUUCCUGCCUCUAAAUUAUUACAAUUACAUUGAAAAUUAUAAAUACAAAAACCUGACAUCAUGGGAGUUAUAUACAUAUACUUAUGAUGCUACAUCCAUCUUGUAAGAAAGCUUGUCUCCUGGACACUUUCUAUGACCUGUGGUUAUGGUAUGAGUGCCCUAACUAAAGCUUUCUUGCCCAGAAAAAAGAAAAACAGGAGAUACAAAAAUUAAAGAAAAAGAGAAAAGAGGCAGAGAGAGAGAAUAAGUGUCCCAAAGGCAACCCAGUUCACAAUUCACAAGACUGGCCAAUUGUGCUAGUGUCCAAGAUGCUGCUGUUGUAGUAGUGUUUGUGUGUGUGUAAUAUUAGAUCAAAAGAUCAAAUAAUUGUUUUGUCUUAUUAACAAGGUUAUUCAUAGCCAUUUGAUGUCAAAAAGAUUGUUAUUUUUAGAGAUAUGGAUGGCAACUAUACAACUUCCCAGAUUUAGAGAGAAGAUAUAAACAUAUAGAGCUAGCUCAAUUAUAUAUCUAUAUCUAGGGCUUCUUUUUUCCCAUUUUUAUAUGGAAAUUAAAGUGUAUUAUAUGUACUACAACUUUUUUGCUUAGUUAAAAGGCAAUUAAAGUGCCUAUUAUAUGAACUACAACUUCUUUCUUUUAGUUAAAAGGCAAUUAAAGUGUAUCCUAAUUGCUGGUUUUAAAGGGGUUAAAAUUAAGAAAACGGUUCCUGAAAUAUGACUUCCUGUUAUAUAAUUAGCAAAAAGACACUCAUUUAAUCAAUGUUACACACAACCUGGAAUUAGCUAUAAGUAUCUAAAGUACAAGUGCGUGAAGAAACAAUUUUUACUGCAUGGUUUUGGCAAUUGAUAUUUAUGGCACACUAAUCGCAUUCAGGAGCUACAGAAUACCAAAUGUUAAUGAUCUUCACGAAGUAUGGUGUAUUUUUCAUGUUUCUGUUUACAAAGGAGGAAAGAUGACUCCAGGUUGAGAUAUGGAUCUCUUACUGUUUAUUUAUUUAUCUAAAAUUUUAACGAAAUUAUUUAUCAAGCAAUAGGAACAAGCUGUUACUAAAUAGCCAUUUUGUCAAUGUUUUUGUUUCAGUUUUAGAUGGGCAUGUAGUUCUAUAUAUAAGGAAGGGCCCUGCCCUCCUGCCCUUGUAAAACAUAAAAGAAACACACAAAUGACAGCACCCACUUGCUCUAGGGGCCCUUGAUCAUUUUCCUAUUGCAUGCUUUGAUAAAAUCAAAAGCAAAAAAGCAAAUGGAAUUUGAAGUUGAAUAGUUAAAUUAAAUAAUUUUUUUCCUUAAAGAAAGAAGAAAAUAAAAAGCAAAGGGAACAUUAUGCAGAUUUAUAUCUUAUCAAGAAUCUGUUCCUAACCCCAUGUAUAUAUUAUCAUUAUCAUUGUCCUUAUUGUUUUUCCAUAGCCAAGUGGAGAAGGAGGCUAGCUAGUGUGCAGCGAUGAAUAAUCUUUCAUGCCCAGAUAUAAUUAAGUCACGCUCAUUGUCAUCACCAUCCUUUGCUAGGUUUAUCUGCAUAAAGGGUUAUAGGCAUAAUCAUAUGCUUUCUUGAUAUCUUGGUUUCUUGAUAGAUUUUCUUGAAUUCUAUACAGACAGAAGACAUACAAACACACGUCUGGCCAGGGAUUCAAGAAAAUUAAAAUAGAAAAAAGAUAAAGAAAAGGGUAUGGAUUCUAGGGAAAGAAAAAGUGUGUAGCAGGAGCAAGAUUAUGAUUAUAGCUACUGGGGAAUCUCAAAUAUAUAUAUAAAGAAUGGACCCCCCUUCUUCUCUUCACAAUAACCCUUUCUCUCUCUAUCUCUCUGUGUUGAUUGGCCACUGGAGAAUAUGUUAUACACGUUAAAAGCAGGUCAAAAGGACACAUUGGUCAGACCAUUUAAGGGACCACAAUUUGAGAUCUCCUGAAAUCAAUUGUGGGAUUUUGGACAGCAAUUAAUCUCAGCUUUUAAUUAUUAUUUUAUUAAAUUAAUAUUUCUUUUUCUUAAAACUUCUUUGUUUUAUUUUUAAACCAAGAAACAGAAAGUGGAGAGAGAGGUUUUGGUUUUAAUUGAAUUGAAUUUAAUAAUCUACAGAGAACAUUCUCCCUGGAUUGAUCAGGGGAUAAAUAGUGAAAAAAGAAGAUGUACUGCUUUUAGUAAAGGACCCACAAAUUUCCUCAAUAUGUUAUGUUGUUACAGGUUGUACCCUUCAGUGUUUCAGAAAGCAGAUUCUAUCCUAUUCUAUCUAAAACUCAUGUGAUGAAUGUAAUGGUUAAAUAUUUCAAGUACAUUUAAAUUUUUUUCUUUCUUACCUAAUUCAUGAUUUCAGGUAUCCAUAUUUAAUAUAUAUGUGCAUUGUACAUUUUGCUUAUACAUGAUAUAAGAAAUUUCCCCUCUCUCUCUCAUAUAUGAUAUAUAUAUAUACAGAGAUAAUGUUUUUGUACUCUGCUAGAGACACAUGCAUCUCUUUUGCCUAUCUUCUUUCAUUAAAAUGGUAAACUUCAACAUCAAUGCUCUGAAAAAGCCUUGUAGAUGUCUACCUUCAUGGACUUUUCUACUAUUUUGGUCGUGUGUAUAAGAAAAAAAACAAACAAUUUAAAUAACUAAACAAAACCCUUUACUUGUUUCUCUUUACCAAUAUAUAUAUAUAUAUAUAUAUAUAUAGAGAGAGAGAGAGAGAGAGUUUGCUUAUGUAUUAUGUUAGUGACGUAUAUACAUAAUCAAGUACUUACCCACUUCAAGAUUUCGUAUCUCUAACAACAAGAAAUUUAUAGUUUCAACUACAGUCCAUGCACAUACACACACAGAAAGAGAAAAGAGAGAGAGAGAGAAUGGAAAUUACUUGUUGCAUCAGCUAAAUUUCAAGGAAACUGCAGUAUCGUACUGUUAUAUGUUAAAGAAGUGUGAAGUACAAGCAUAAGAUUCUUGUGUUACGUACAUACAUACACACAUACAUGUAUAUAUAUAAUCUAUUUAUUCAUAUGAAAUUAAGAUGAAGAGAAAGAAAAGAGACUGCUCUUCUUCUUUCUUUUUUUCUUUUUUGUCCCUUUUAUUGUCUGAUAACUUUUAUUUGUUAGAACAUGCAUUGAUGAUAUAUGGAUUCCCUGCUUAUAUCUUUCAGUGCUUUGAGAAGUUUGAAAUUCACUUUUUCCAUGAGUAUAUCUCUAUUCUUGAAUGCGUAGAAUUUCUUAUAUGAAAGUUGAGAAAUGGGAAUCUAAUUCCCCGUAACACAAACAUCUGUAAUUGGUUUCUUUGAUGUACAUUCUCAAACUUUAUUAUGUGUUUAUAAGAGCUUAUAAAUUUUCUUUUUGUUAUUUUUUCCACCGUGUUUAAAAUCUUAUUGUUUUAAUUCUAUCUUUUCGUUUUCUGAUUAGCUUUAUAUAUAUAAAAAAUAUAUAAGAAUUACAAGGACAAAUAUUAGAUGAUUGGAACUGAUUGUCAUUAGUUACAAGAGUAGCUAUUAAAUGAUUGGUACUAGGCCUGAAGUGGUGUUAAAGCUCUGGUUGUAACUGAAUUUGGAAAAAUUAUUAAUCGGACAAGAUGGUUCAAGGACUGAUCUGAACUAUGAUCUGAACUAAGGAAAUAAAUAUUGUAGAAUCAUUUAAUCGAGGUUAUAUAAUUACAUAUAUAAAUACAAUUUAAAAAUCUUAGAUAACAUAUAUAGUUCGUUUUCUUAAUUACUCAUUAUUAAUUAGAUUAAUUGGAUAAAUAAUUGAACUAAUACUCUUUUUUUUAAUUAGCUAAACAUUUAUAUGUUCAGUUCAUGAAAUAGCCAAGGAAAUAAAAAAGCUAUUGCAUAUGAAAUAAGUAUUCGAGGAUUUUGUUCAAAGUUAAACAAAGAAUAAGUAUUCUAGAAUGCCUAUUCUUCAAUUUUGUAAAGUAUCUAUUCCAUGGUUAAUUGAAUGACUAUCACACCUUAAUCAAUAAUGUAUUUUCUUAAUUAGUUUCUUAUUUUAAAUCCACUUGACAUUAUCAUUAUAUUAUCCACUCACCAACAACACCGUCGCCACCGCUACCACAACCCUGGCCGCCACUACAAUUGCUACUGCUAUUAAAGAUUGAGACCCUGCGGAAUUAAGGCGUGGGAAUGCUUUAACAGAGUUGUGUGGCAUAGAUCUGCAAAGUUAAGAUGUGGGAACAUCUUAAGAGGGUUACGAUUAUUUGUCACUAGUUUUAUUGUAUUCAUCUGUUGCAAUUGUAUUUCGUUUAUAUUUGUCUAUUUGUAUACUACUAGGACUGUAUUAUAUAGGUAUUUCUCUCCUUUAUUGUAUUAUAGAUAGUCUUGUAUUAUAAUUAAUAGUAUACAAUACAUAAUUUUCUACAUGGUACUAGAGUCUCGUGGCUCAAAAUUUUCUUUAUUCAUGGCCAACCAAAUUACUGUAGCAACCUCUUACGCACCUUCAUCCUCCUCCCCCGUCACUCCAACUGCCCAUCAUACUUUCACUAUCAAGCUCACGCCACGCAACUAUCUUCCAUGGAAGCUCAAUUUCUUCUAUUACUUAAUUACCAUAAUAUGGCAGCCUUAUCUCAGGUGUUCGUACAAUACCUUUUGUCACCAUAACAUCUACUAAUACCCAAACACUAACAAAUCC
RNAcentral lists this long non-coding RNA (4791 nucleotides) under Ricinus communis (castor bean). Its description in RNAcentral is "long non-coding RNA (RCOM_LNC002457)". The record is from RNAcentral. Lineage: Eukaryota; Viridiplantae; Streptophyta; Magnoliopsida; Malpighiales; Euphorbiaceae.